RNAcentral lists this ribosomal RNA (589 nucleotides) under uncultured bacterium. RNAcentral's name for it is "bacterial SSU rRNA". It matches the Rfam family "Bacterial small subunit ribosomal RNA", at positions 338 to 916 of the family's 1533-position model. The record is from RNAcentral.
CCUACGGCAGGCAGCAGUGGGGAAUUUUGGACAAUGGGCGCAAGCCUGAUCCAGCCAUUCCGCGUGAGUGAAGAAGGCCUUCGGGUUGUAAAGCUCUUUCGCAAGAGAAGAAAACUUACUUUCCAAUAAAGAGUGAGGUUGACGGUAUCUUGAUAAGAAGCACCGGCUAACUACGUGCCAGCAGCCGCGGUAAUACGUAGGGUGCGAGCGUUAAUCGGAAUUACUGGGCGUAAAGCGUGCGCAGGCUGUUUUGUAAGUCAGAUGUGAAAUCCCCGAGCUCAACUUGGGAACUGCGUUUGAAACUACAAGACUAGAAUAUGUCAGAGGGGGGUUAGAAUUCCACGUGUAGCAGUGAAAUGCGUAGAGAUGUGGAGGAAUACCAAUGGCGAAGGCAGCCCCCUGGGAUAAUAUUGACGCUCAUGCACGAAAGCGUGGGGAGCAAACAGGAUUAGAUACCCUGGUAGUCCACGCCAUAAACGAUGUCUACUAGUUGUUGGUGGAGUAAAAUCCAUGAGUAACGCAGCUAACGCGUGAAGUAGACCGCCUGGGGAGUACGGUCGCAAGNUUAAAACGUCAAAGGAAUUGACGG